RNAcentral lists this ribosomal RNA (431 nucleotides) under uncultured bacterium. Its description in RNAcentral is "partial 16S ribosomal RNA". It matches the Rfam family "Bacterial small subunit ribosomal RNA", at positions 29 to 507 of the family's 1533-position model. The record is from RNAcentral.
AACGAACGCUGGCGGCAGGCCUAACACAUGCAAGUCGAGCGCCCCGCCAGGGGCGCGGCGGACGGGUGGGUAACGCGUGGGAAUAUGCCCUUUGCUACGGAAUAGUCUCGGGAAACUGGGGGUAAUACCGUAUACGCCCUUUGGGGGAAAGAUUUAUCGGCGAAGGAUUAGCCCGCGUUGGAUUAGGUAGUUGGUGGGGUAAUGGCCUACCAAGCCGACGAUCCAUAGCUGGUUUGAGAGGAUGAUCAGCCACACUGGGACUGAGACACGGCCCAGACUCCUACGGGAGGCAGCAGUGGGGAAUCUUAGACAAUGGGGGCAACCCUGAUCGAGCCAUGCCGCGUGAGUGAUGAAGGCCUUAGGGUUGUAAAGCUCUUUAAGCUGGGAAGAUAAUGACGGUACCAGCAGAAGAAGCCCCGGCUAACUCCGUG